Molecule: ribosomal RNA, 253 nt
Filed under: uncultured bacterium
Lineage: Bacteria
Description: partial 16S ribosomal RNA
Rfam family: Bacterial small subunit ribosomal RNA
Source: RNAcentral
UACGUAGGGGGCUAGCGUUGUCCGGAAUCAUUGGGCGUAAAGAGCGUGUAGGCGGCCCGGUAAGUCCGCUGUGAAAGUCGGGGGCUCAACCCUCGAAUGCCGGUGGAUACUGUCGGGCUAGAGUGCGGAAGAGGCGAGUGGAAUUCCUGGUGUAGCGGUGAAAUGCGCAGAUAUCGGGAGGAACACCUAUGGCGAAGGCAGCUCGCUGGGACGUUACUGACGCUGAGGUGCGAAAGCGUGGGGAGCAAACAGG